This 706-nucleotide long non-coding RNA is filed under the name Heterocephalus glaber (naked mole-rat). RNAcentral describes it as "lncRNA (ENSHGLG00000044341.1)". Lineage: Eukaryota; Metazoa; Chordata; Mammalia; Rodentia; Bathyergidae. The record is from RNAcentral.
CAGUGGUGACGUUUUCAGCUUGAUGUGGUUGGUAGUUUCUCGUGGACACUGUGGUGCAGGGACCAAGAUAUUUAUUCUCACCAGCUUCAGACCUAAGAAAAAGAAAAUGGUGAGUGGUGAUCAGUAGCAAAAUUCAGCCUUUCCAAUCCAGACACUGGAAAAAUAACAACUUGGCAAAGAAAAACAGAAGCAGAUCACCAGGAAUCAGGAAGGAACUGACAGGAAAAAUGAAAAGCUACAAAGAUGUUGAAAAGAUGGGCCACAAUGCAGAAAAAAGAAGGAAAUAAUUGGAACUCCCUCCUCAGCUCUCACAGGGAGGGGAAUCUGAUUCCCAGAAGCCGUAAGCAGCCAGGGCUGGGAGAUCCAGAGAGAAACAGUAGUGGAGCCCACAGCCUUUGUGAGGUGCGAAAACAAUGCAGAGUUUUGCUUUGAGGGGACUCCUUACACAGCAGGCAGCAGCUGGAGCAGGAGUCAAGUGUGGGUGCUCCAGUGAGCUUGAUCAGGUGCCAUUUGGGGCAGGGGUUGAUUAAAGUAUUUAGGUCUAGGACUCAGAACAGUUUCACUUGAGGGCUCCCAGUGUUACCCUCCCAUAGUAAUUGGGUGAGUGGGAGACAGGCGUGGACAGGGAGCAGGCUACAGAGUCCCUGAGAAGUUUAAACUCAGGCCACCAAGGACCUGGCCCUACCCCACUGUGGUGAGAAGCCCU